RNAcentral lists this ribosomal RNA (292 nucleotides) under uncultured Acidobacteriota bacterium. RNAcentral describes it as "uncultured Acidobacteria bacterium partial 16S ribosomal RNA". The record is from RNAcentral. Lineage: Bacteria; Pseudomonadati; Acidobacteriota.
GGACUACCGGGGUUUCUAAUCCUGUUUGCUCCCCUAGCUUUCGCGCUUCAGCGUCAGUACCUGUCCAGGUAGCCGCCUUCGCCACUGGUGUUCUUCCCAGUCUCUACGCAUUUCACCGCUACACUGGGAAUUCCACUACCCUCUCCAGGACUCAAGCCGAACAGUAUCGGAGGCAAUUCCUCAGUUGAGCCGAGGGAUUUCACCUCCGACUUGAUCGGCCGCCUACGCGCCCUUUACGCCCAAUGAUUCCGAACAACGCUGGCCCCCUCCGUAUUACCGCGGCUGCUGGCAC